UUCCGGUUGAUCCCGCCGGAAGCUACUGCUAUUGGAAUUCGACUAAGCCAUGCGAGUCAAGGUGUCUUCGGACGCCGGCAAACGGCUCAGUAACACGUAGGUAAUCUACCCUCAGGACUGAGAUAACCCCGGGAAACUGGGGCUAAUACCAGAUAGAUAAAAGAUACUGGAAUGUUCUUUUAUCCAAAGCUUUUGUGCCUGAGGAUGAGCCUGCGCCCGAUUAGGUAGUUGGUGGGGUAAUGGCCCACCAAGCCUGCGAUCGGUACGGGCAGUGGGAGCUGUAGCCCGGAGUUGGGGACUGAGACAAGGCCCCAGGCCCUACGGGGCGCAGCAGGCGCGAAACCUCUGCAAUGCGGGAAACCGUGACAGGGGGAUUCCAAGUGCUCAUGCAUUGCAUGGGCUGUUCUUUGGUCUAAGUAACCAGAGGAGUAAGGGCUGGGCAAGACCGGUGCCAGCCGCCGCGGUAAUACCGGCAGCUCGAGUGGUAGCCGCGAUUAUUGGGCCUAAAACGUUCGUAGCCGGAUAAGUAAGUCUUUGGUUAAAUCCUACGACUUAACCGUGGGAAAUCUAGAGAUACUGCUUGCCUUGAGACCGGGAGAGGUUGGAGGUACUCCCAGGGUAGGGGUGAAAUCCUGUAAUCCUGGGGGGACCACCUGUGGCGAAGGCGUCCAACUGGAACGGCUCUGACGGUGAGGGACGAAACCUAGGGGAGCGAGCCGGAUUAGAUACCCGGGUAGUCCUAGGCGUAAAUGAUGCGAGUUAAGUGUGGGGGCAUCUACGAGAUGGCCCUGUGCUGUAGGGUAGCCGUUAAACACGCUGCCUGGGGAGUGCGGUCGCAAGGCUGAAACUUUAAAGGAAUUGGCGGGGGAGCACCACAAGAGGUGGAGGCUGCGGUUCAAUUGGAUUCAACGCCGG
Molecule: ribosomal RNA, 915 nt
Filed under: archaeon enrichment culture clone C4-43C-A
Lineage: Archaea
Description: bacterial SSU rRNA
Rfam family: Archaeal small subunit ribosomal RNA
Source: RNAcentral